This 76-nucleotide transfer RNA is filed under the name Marinobacter sp. RNAcentral's name for it is "tRNA-Lys". It matches the Rfam family "tRNA". Rfam says of the family: Transfer RNA (tRNA) molecules are approximately 80 nucleotides in length. Their secondary structure includes four short double-helical elements and three loops (D, anti-codon, and T loops). The record is from RNAcentral. RNAcentral also lists the same sequence under 1 other name. Lineage: Bacteria; Pseudomonadati; Pseudomonadota; Gammaproteobacteria; Pseudomonadales; Marinobacteraceae.
GGGUCGUUAGCAUAACAGGGAAUGCUCCUGAUUCUUAAUCAGGAAGAUCUCGGUUCGAUUCCGAGGCGGCCUACCA